Long non-coding RNA from Sander lucioperca (pikeperch), 79 nucleotides. RefSeq lists it as uncharacterized. NCBI's taxonomy places the organism in Eukaryota, Metazoa, Chordata, Actinopteri, Perciformes, Percidae. The transcript has 3 exons. The record is from RefSeq and is a predicted model, not a curated record.
GAUUUUUCGAAUGUGUCGAAUAUCCAACGUCCAAUAUAAAACCAACUUUUUUACCACGGGGGGCACAUGUCCACCACUU